CAGACUUUGAAGAUUCCCCCAUGGACGGCCUCACCCUCCCUGAGGAACAGAAAGGGGAGUUUUUCAACCGCAACUUGAAUUCUUCCCCAUGGUUUUUAAAAAGUGAAGCCCAAGAGUCCAGCAGGCCAUCCUGUGCUUAGCAGCAAGUCCAUCCUGCCUGCAUCAAGCUCUGGCCUGUGUCCCUCAGCAGCAACUGUAGAUUGUGGUGGCUCUUGAGCCUCACUCCUGUGCUAUGCUUCUCAGCACAUACUUGACAGUGUAGGCAAAGGCUGCAAACCCAACUAUAACAAACAAGUUCGCCAAAACGCCUCCCAGGAGUCCAUGAUGCCUGUUGGCCUG
RNAcentral lists this long non-coding RNA (339 nucleotides) under Cricetulus griseus (Chinese hamster). Its description in RNAcentral is "lncRNA (ENSCGRG00015030068.1)". Lineage: Eukaryota; Metazoa; Chordata; Mammalia; Rodentia; Cricetidae. The record is from RNAcentral.